RNAcentral lists this ribosomal RNA (552 nucleotides) under uncultured bacterium. RNAcentral's name for it is "bacterial SSU rRNA". It matches the Rfam family "Bacterial small subunit ribosomal RNA", at positions 772 to 1319 of the family's 1533-position model. The record is from RNAcentral.
ACUCAAUAGAUACCCCGGUAGUCCUGGCCGUAAACGAUGAACACUAGUAGGAAGAAACCUAGUUUUUUCCUCCGGAGCUAAAAAGUGUUAAAGUGUUCCGCCUGGGGAGUAUGGUCGCAAGGCUGAAACUCAAAGAAAUUGACGGGGGCUCACACAAGCGGUGGAGCAUGUGGCUUAAUUCGAGGCAACGCGAAGAACCUUAUCCUAGACUUGACAUGGUCGGAUUAGUUCCGUGAAAGCGGAAUGACGCCUUCGGGUGGAACGAUCACAGGUGCUGCAUGGCUGUCGUCAGCUCGUGUCGUGAGAUGUCGGGUUAAGUCCUUCAACGAGCGAAACCCCUGUCCUUAGUUGCCAGCAUUCAGUUGGGGACUCUAAGGAGACCGCCGGUGUUAAACCGGAGGAAGGCGGGGACGACGUCAAGUCAUCACGGCCUUUAUGUUUAGGGCUGCACACGUGCUACAAUGGGGCGUACAAAGGGAAGCCAACGCGCGAGCGGGAGCUAAUCUCAAAAAGACGUCCCUCAGUUCAGAUUGCAGGCUGCAAUUCGCCUGC